Long non-coding RNA from Cyprinus carpio (common carp), 302 nucleotides. Lineage: Eukaryota; Metazoa; Chordata; Actinopteri; Cypriniformes; Cyprinidae. The record is from Ensembl.
AUGCUGAAAAGACAUAAAGGAAGCAGUCACCCCAGUCGUGUUUGUGGAGAGGUAUUCCUUCAGAAAUGGAGAAGACAGAAAGCUGCAGAGGCAGGAUUGUUUGCACAUAACACUGUAGAUCUCCAUCAUGCACAAGGACUCACCUAUUUAACUCUUUAUCCCCCCCGCCACACACACACAGAAAUGGUUCCUGGAUCAGUGACUUAAGACUUUGCAGUGAUUUGAUUUCUGCAGAAGAUGUAACUUUGUUUUAAUUAAGCUUAUAAUGAAUACAUUGUGACCUUCCAGCAACCCAUAUACUG